This is a long non-coding RNA of Agelaius phoeniceus (red-winged blackbird), 828 nucleotides long. RefSeq lists it as uncharacterized. Lineage: Eukaryota; Metazoa; Chordata; Aves; Passeriformes; Icteridae. The record is from RefSeq and is a predicted model, not a curated record.
GCGCCGAGCCCGGGGCAGGUCGGGGUUUCUCCCUUUCACCCGGCUCGGCCUUUCACGCUCCUCCGGCCGCAGCGUGUGCGGGAAAAGCGCCGCUCACGAGGGGCUCAGCCGGGGGCAGGGCCGAGGAAUGCCCCGGGGGCGGCGAUAACGCGCCGCUGUUGUGUUUUCCUUCUUCGGACGGAAGUUAAAGGCAGGAGGCCCAGGAAGGCGAGAGGAGGUCACGAUCGAGGCAUCAGAUCCUUCCCGUGGUUGUACCCAGCGCCGUCGGUACAAGAAGCGAUUCUCCCACGGCUGUAGCAGAACGGCUCAGCCCAGAUGCACUGGAGUCAAAACCUACAGGGAAGGUGGAACGCGUGUAAUUGAUGGCAGAGGAAGCCAUCAUUACAGCUUGGUAUCAGCUGCACUGCGUUCAACAACGAGGCAGCUGCUUUUGAGUAACGACUUCAAGCAAUUCUUAAAAUAUUCUCUCAAAGAAGAGCAGUCUGCUUUCUCCAAGCGGUGAGGGACGUGGAGAACAAGAAAUCACCUCCCAGCCUUACACAGAACCUGCUGCGCUGGGCACCCAUGUGAGAACAAACCUUUGGGGACCACCGAGGACACUGCUGGUGUUAAUCUCUUACAUCAUUAUGAUUGUGGUGAGAGAGUGACCUGCAGAGGAAAAUCGGAUUAUACAGGUAUAAAAGAGAGCUUUUAGUUCAUUUAUACAAUUUUUCACAAGUUCUGAAAGCAUUCACACUUUUGGUGUGACAAAAACCAACUCAGAUUUUACAUCAUCCAAGUGUGGCCAAGUCUGCAUUUUUUCUUUCUUAUUCUUUUGGUGUUCAUAUA